CCACCCCGCUUCCAGAACGUUCGGGCAGAGUCACCCGCACCCCCUGGCUGUGCCUUCCUCCCUCUCACACCACUGGCUAUGACAAAGCUCAGUUUCAAACACAAAACGUUUUCACAGAGAGGAGGAGCCACUGAUUAGGGAGAUAGAAACGCACCAGCUCGGUUCGGCAGGGCAGAGGGGCCGAGCCCCGGAGCGGCGGCAGCCUCUGUCUGCCGCGCACAGGGCUCGCAGCCGACCCCAAAUCAAGUACAGGGACCCUUCAGCAGCCUCCAGAGAACUGGAUUUGGGCGGGAUUUUCUUUUUUUUCUUUCCAGCUUGGGCUUUCCCCCCCGCCUCGGGCUGGAGUGGGGAGAGGGGGGGAGUGGGAGGGGAGCAUGGUUUGUUUUGUCGUUUGUUUGUUGUUGAGACACCGAAUCAUAAUGUACUCAAUCAUAAUUCUCCGGUGACUGCCACUACGGAAAAAGCCAAAAUGUCUGCCUGCUUUUUCCACGUUUUGCCGGUGAUGGUAGAAACGCCUAAAAGCUAUUAUGUUCUCAGAGCCAGUUCUCUUCCUCAAACAGGUUAUACUGAAAGCGGAAAUUCCGAGAAAGGACUCAACGUGUUGGCAUUUAGACUAGCUUUCACAGUCCUAGCACCAAGUUCAACUACAGCCAGGAAAUACUAUGAGCUACCCACUGUUUAGGUUCAGAACCCAUGAAGAGCUGAACAAGACACAAGACACAGAACAAGAAGACUAUAUAGACAGUCAUGAACAAAAAUGCCUUCUUUCUUCUCUUCUGCUGUCCAACUCCCCGGUGAAAAAGUUGAGCAUUACUCUUCUUCUAUUUUCAUCUCCCAGGACACAAACAGUACCUACUAAUGAGUUUUAAGGAUGACAGCUAGGUCACCAACCGGUACCACACAGCAGAAUACAUGAGGCCAUGUGAAACCAUUAACACUUCGAAACGCAGAUUUCAAUGAAGUUGUGCAAAAGAAAUAACAAUAGACCUCAAAACUUCCACCUUCUGAUUUGUAGUAAUCCCAGAAAAUUUGUAGUAUUAUUCUUGAGUAGCAAGUAAGCGCUAGCUGCAAAACAGUUAACAUUUAUGUAAUCGUUGUUUUUCUAAUGUAUUUAUAUAGGCAUUGUAAUUAUCUACCAUUGGAAAAGUUGCACAUUGGAAACACGAUAAUCCAAUCUAAUUGCUUGGUUACAAAAAUUUAAUAAAGUUUGUAAAGAGUUUAUUUAAUUUUUCACUUAAAGUAUGAGGAAAGCAUUUGACAAAGGGACACCACAGAAUGAGUGCUCUUCUGGUCUGCUAAGAAAUUAAGCCAAAACAAAGUAAUUUUAGUAGCAGGACAAAUAUGAUAUUUGACCUGUCCUAUCUCAUCUAAUGUAUUCUGUAACUGAGACAAGAUGGAGGUCUGUGAAUUCAUUCAGUGUGAAACAAAGAGAAAACAAAGAAAGCACAAACAAAAAAAAAACCUAAUGACAACUGAACUCCAAAAACCAAACCACAAACAAAAAGUCAACCAAAAACCAAAACCCACUACAAUUGACCAAAAAAAAAAAAAAAAAAGACAACAGCAUUGCAACUUAUUUUACAUAGCUUAGAAUUAGUUUUAAGUAUGCCUAACCAAGGUUUUAAAUUGCUCUUCAGCAGAGUAGAGCUGGUGCUCACCUCUAAGGUCUGGAGCACGUGAUGAUAACAGUUCUGUUCAUUUGCACACAGUCAAGCUGAAGUGCUACACUGAAGAGCACUUUUUCAGCCAUUCUGAAACUGCUCUGUCUCAGCUGUACUGAAAAUAAGACUAAAAUGGCUGCAGCAUUCACUCAAGCCAAAUCAGAGACAACUCAGCAAGAGGUAAAACAUUUACACAGCCAAGCACCUCUGUCUUUACCACACUGCAACAAACUGCAGAGGUGGAAGGGGUGCGUACAUGUGAGCAGAGGAGUGGUUUCUUUGACAGGCAGGAAGUGGUUAAUGCACAGCUACAGCACUGCAGCUUCCUAGCACCACUGGUAAAGAGAAAAUCAAACCAAACCAAAAAGGAGCAAGAGGCAGCCCUGCUAGGCUUGUGAUCCAGGUUUGUGUAACAUGCUUCAAAUCUCUCACAAGUGCAAGGCAGUUCAGAAUUCUUGAAUUCAUGUCACAUAUUAACAGUCACGGAUCCAGAGCUGGAUCACGCGCAGAGCUGACAAACAGUAAGGAAUACUUUUCAAGAGCAGGCUCACUUCAAUGCUUCUAAAAAAAAAAGGCAAAACAAACCAAAACAACCCACUUAAGAGAUUAACCUACAGCUUUGUACUGCUCCAUCUAUUUUGAAAUAGCCUUUAAUAUUAGUUGCCCAAUAUAAAUUUUACUUGGGGAGGAAAAAAGGAUGUUCACUUUACAAGAAAGCUAGCAAAAUCCCAAGAACAUUCCAGAACUUCAUCCCUUGAAGAAAUCUAACUCUUUAUGACUUCAAUGCAGCUUGUUGUCUAAGUUUUUCAAAGAAGGGCUGUAUCUGGAAUCACUUAAGGAAUUUUGAUGGAAUCUUGUAACAGAGCAGUUCCUGAAGACUUGGUGUGAGAACCUAUGGUAGGGAGAAGGGGGUUGUUAACCAAAGACACAAGUUUAACACAAAAUUAAAUUAAUAGAGGUUUCGCUCUCUUGUCUGUUCAUUGUAAUAAAAAUAGUAAUAUUAGUUAUUAAUGGUAAUAACCAAUCACGUACUCUCAUAAAGGCAAUGCUGGAUCAGUUCUGGAGUGUGCUCCUCUAUAUCUGCCUCACUUCUUUCUACAUAAUCCAAAUUUAUCUAUUUCAAAACAAAAUACUUGCAAGAGUCCAUGGGGCAAUUCUAAAGAAAAUUAGUGUUGAAUUAUAUCUAGCCUUCUAACAAAAAAUACUCUUUGCAAUCCAAAAUUAGCACAAUAUAGUAAGUCACUUCUCUCUAAAAAGCAGAAGAACAUGCCCUCCAACCACUCAAAUUAUGAAAUGGUCUAGACUCAUCUAACUGUGCAUGUCUGUUGCCAGCUGUAGCUAGUUAUUUCUGGAUUGAUUAAUCAUGCUAGCAGUAGUUGUCUGAUGCACUCAUCAGCACUACAGUCAGUAUCUCUAACUUAAAAAAUGGUGAAAUACACCAUCCGGCUUUUCCUUUUGUCCUUGUAUUACCAUGACCUGCUGUACAAGGAAGGGCACAUGCUACACAGGAGAGAGCUCCACUGAUUGUCUCUGAUAGUACUACCGUACAGAUUCAGAAAACUACAUUAAAAUACACUUGAAGUUCAAAAAACAUAUUUCUUAAAAAACAAACUCAUGAACGUCAGAGAACAAAUUCAUUACAGAUAAUUUAAAACUAUCCAUUACAAUGAAGCUUUUUUCACCAACACCUUGUACUAAAGUAAAAAUCAAAUCUACAGCCAAUUCAAAAGAAAAAUUUGAUAUUAUCUUGAUUAUAUACCCCAUGUUGCUUACUCUGAACACCAUAUGUACCACACUAGUUGGUGAAAAUUUACAAUAACUUGUAAGAUUUCAAAAUUAAAACUUAAAUAUUUUAUUUGUAUAACAAAUAUACAUAUACUUUGAUUCCCCCAGUAGCAAUGUUUUAAACAAAAUUCUGUGUUUAGUGUAUCUACAAAAUUUGUACAUCAAAAGGGUGAAUUGUGACUCCAAGUCUUAAAAUUCCAAGAAUAUCACAAAAACCACAGGGACGUUCUAACCCAGAAUCCAAAAGUUGCACUUGUACAACACUGUGUUUUAUGUAACGUGGCGUCUUGGAGCUUGACAUAUGGAUGACAAUGACUUAAAUAGGUUUGAACAGGCAAAACAACAAGUUUGCAAAAAAAUUUCACAGAACACUUUCCCUGAGCCAGAGAAAACAAAAUCCAUGUCACAGUCUUGUUGCUACAAAUGUCUUGCCUUGUCAGAAAGCUUCAGCAACAUGCAGAGGCACUAAUACAUUAACACAGACACAUGGAUGCCAAAAAUCUUACUGAAUAGUAAGAAAUAAUAUGCGUUAGCUUAAAUGUCCAGUUCAAUAUACCUCCAUUAGCACACAAAAGCAUGUUAAUAAGUGUGCUAAAAGUUAUUAAUCAAACUAAUUUUAAAAUAAAACCUGAAGUUUAAAUAAACACAGACUUACGAAUAGAUUAAGUUCUCUGAAACUGCUUUGGCCCAGGAAAUGUUAGACUCAACCUCCACUAACGUGUAAUUCUGUACUAGCACGAGACUACAGUUUUUUUCAUUGCUACCUAGCAUGGCAUUUAUACAGAUUCUUUAGUCAAAAUCUCAAGAAAAUAAAGCAUUUUUUUAACACUAGAGAACAAAACAUAAACAUGUUACGAUAAGAACUGCAAACAACCUUUAAUCCUGCCCUCUUUUGAUAACAUGCCAAAACACUCCAAUAUCAUCUCAGUAAGUUCAACUACCAUAGCCAUAAAUUAAAACAGGGCUUCCAUUUUCCCAGUUUCUCAUGAACAUCAAACAAGAACCACAAGAGAAUGGCAUCCUCUUGUUUCUCUAGGUAUUGCCCUGUGUAAGUAACAUCACCUUCCCACGUCUCUUAAG
Molecule: long non-coding RNA, 4526 nt
Organism: Passer domesticus (house sparrow)
Lineage: Eukaryota; Metazoa; Chordata; Aves; Passeriformes; Passeridae
Exons: 3
Source: RefSeq, a predicted model, not a curated record